RNAcentral lists this ribosomal RNA (447 nucleotides) under uncultured bacterium. Its description in RNAcentral is "partial 16S ribosomal RNA". It matches the Rfam family "Bacterial small subunit ribosomal RNA", at positions 28 to 523 of the family's 1533-position model. The record is from RNAcentral.
GACGAACGCUGGCGGCAGGCUUAACACAUGCAAGUCGAACGCCCCGCGAGGGGAGUGGCAGACGGGUGAGUAACACGUGGGAACCUUCCUCGUUGUACGGAACAACUCAGGGAAACUUGAGCUAAUACCGUAUACGUCCGAGAGGAGAAAGAUUUAUCGCAAUGAGACGGGCCCGCGUCGGAUUAGCUAGUUGGUGGGGUAACGGCCUACCAAGGCAACGAUCCGUAGCUGAUCUGAGAGGAUGAUCAGCCACACUGGGACUGAGACACGGCCCAGACUCCUACGGGAGGCAGCAGUGGGGAAUCUUGGACAAUGGGCGCAAGCCUGAUCCAGCCAUGCCGCGUGAGUGAAGAAGGCCUUCGGGUUGUAAAGCUCUUUUGUCAGGGACGAUAAUGACGGUACCUGAAGAAUAAGCCCCGGCAAACUUCGUGCCAGCAGCCGCAGUAA